AGUUUCUGUCUUAUACAUCAUACAAAAAUUCCAAUAAGGUUGCCAAUAAGGUAAUAGCUACUUCAGUAGCUCACCUUCCAUAUGCUGCAGAAGGGACUUAGCAUUCUGCAGGUUCAAUCUCCUACUUACUCCUUUCCUUCUUCCUGCGAUAGUAUAGAAAUAACUAUCGCUAAGCAUAAGACUUAGUAGUGCCAUUGGAUAUUUAAGUUGUUUAAAUGUGAAAAAUAACUUCAAUAUUACCUCUCAUAAGUCAACUCUUGUCGUUUGCUUACUGAAAACAAACCGGUUAAAUAGAAGUAACAAGUAGUCAUAUCAACUAAAUUAAAUUCAUUUGCAAACCAACAAUAAUCAAUUUAUAUUAAGAUAUUAUGGCAUCUCAAUACAAUCAUCAAUCAAUAGUUUUGUCUCCACAACUUAUGCAGACUCAAUCGGAAGGGCCAUCACUGUCUUAUAAGCUCAUAAAGACAAAACUAUCUCAACCUUAAUCUGUGAUAUGAAUAUCAAUAGAAGAGGGACAAUCUCAACCUCAUUUAAGAGAGAACAAUAUCAUUUGCAAUAUCAUUUAUUGCAUAUCCAUAUCAAUCACAAUAUUAACUUCAAGAAAUGAAGUGAUAUUAGCAGGGUAAUAACCAUGCAUAAUAUCAACUUCAACAAAUGAAGUGAUAUCAGGUAAUAACCAUGUCAUGCAUUUAGCUGUGAGACUCUUAAAACUUCUCCAUUAUAAAUUAAUCAUUAGCCUUAAUGAGCAGCAUUUCAUUUUGUUAAAACAUUUCUAUAUCCAUUCUUUCAAAAUCAUCCUCCAUUUUCCAUUCAAAUGAGUACUUUAAAAUUCAUUUCCAACUAUUAUAAAACAUUUAACAUUCGCUCUUUAUUAUUUUGUGUAAACAUUUAACUAUAACUUUAGCAUUUGCUUUCUUUAUAAUCAAUUCACAAUUGCAAUAAUCACAUUUGAAUUCAAUUUCAUUUGAUAUAAAUAUUUGAUAAAUAAAUCAACUUUUUCUAUUGUAAAAUUUCAUUUGAUAUAAACAUUUGCUUUCUUUACCUUGUAACUUUUCAUAAAAUAUUUUUUAAAACUAUUUUACUUAUCACUUAAA
RNAcentral lists this long non-coding RNA (1094 nucleotides) under Jatropha curcas. RNAcentral describes it as "long non-coding RNA (JCUR_LNC000764)". The record is from RNAcentral. Lineage: Eukaryota; Viridiplantae; Streptophyta; Magnoliopsida; Malpighiales; Euphorbiaceae.